UAUCAAGAGCUCCAGUUGGGUCAUCAUAUUUGCCAUGCUCUCAUCUCUUUCUUUAUCUCACUUUCAUUGUUCUUUGUCAACCAUGAAUGUAUAGGGAGAGCUUUUGGGAACUUCGAUAUCUCGGGUAUGCUAACCCCAAUUUUGCUUUAUCACCUCUCCCAAUAUUUAAUUGUCAUAUGGUAGUGCAUCUUUACCAGGGAACCUCCCACCGCGUUGUCCACCAUGGUUUUGUUAAGCGGGUCAAAGGAUCGGUAGAAGAUUCACCAAUUUUCCAUUGAAUCUUUCCCAUGCUUUAAACAAUGGUUCCCCAUUCAAUUGCCUAAAAUUUAUGAUCUCAUCCCACAUUAGGAGUAUUUUGUAAGGUGGGAAGUAUUGAUUAAGAGAAACUGGGGUAAGUUCUUCCCAAAGUAGUGAUUGAAC
RNAcentral lists this long non-coding RNA (420 nucleotides) under Capsicum annuum. RNAcentral describes it as "long non-coding RNA (CANN_LNC013803)". The record is from RNAcentral. Lineage: Eukaryota; Viridiplantae; Streptophyta; Magnoliopsida; Solanales; Solanaceae.